AAGUGAUUGGGUUUCCUGAAUUUUCACAGGUCUAGUCUUGAGACUGUGAAACCAAAACAAGGGGAGAAAGACCCUUAAUGGGGGCGUCCAAAACCUCGUGCCUUUCCUCCAUGUCAGCAGCCAUUCUCGCUCCUGAAUUCUCUUGGCCUCAGCUUUCCCUCUGCGGACGUUCUCACACAUCUCACUGUCUCUCCACCGUGGCUCUUUGCUCUUUUGUUCCUGAAGAAAAUCUGUAUGGACUUUCGCACGAGCCAACCGCACAUUUAUCACUGUGGUGUGUGUUGACCGUAGGUUGUAAUUCUCUGAGUUAUGACAAUGAAGCAGCAUGAUUCAAGAAGGAAUGGGAAGAAUGGCUGUGACAACUCUUUGGGAAAGUAAACAUUACUUUGUACCUCACUUCUGAUGGGAAAACGGUCAGUCUUUCAGAAGGCAUCGGAAUUUAUCAGGCAGAUGUAGCAAUAAUGUAACUACUACUGGAUGGGAUUUUCUCACACUCCGAUAACAGUUUUAUUGCAUGCUAGCCCGCAUGUAUUGCUUUCUAGGACUAUAAAAACAGAAAAGAGCAUGCUAUGUUUUCACUG
Peromyscus eremicus (cactus mouse) is the source of this 581-nucleotide long non-coding RNA. RefSeq lists it as uncharacterized. The record is from RefSeq and is a predicted model, not a curated record. The transcript has 2 exons. NCBI's taxonomy places the organism in Eukaryota, Metazoa, Chordata, Mammalia, Rodentia, Cricetidae.